UCUCCGUAGGUGAACCUGCGGAGGGAUCAUUACACAAAUAUGAAGGCGGGCUGGAACCUCUCGGGGUUACAGCCUUGCUGAAUUAUUCACCCUUGUCUUUUGCGUACUUCUUGUUUCCUUGGUGGGUUCGCCCACCACUAGGACAAACAUAAACCUUUUGUAAUUGCAAUCAGCGUCAGUAACAAAUUAAUAAUUACAACUUUCAACAACGGAUCUCUUGGUUCUGGCAUCGAUGAAGAACGCAGCGAAAUGCGAUAAGUAGUGUGAAUUGCAGAAUUCAGUGAAUCAUCGAAUCUUUGAACGCACAUUGCGCCCUUUGGUAUUCCAAAGGGCAUGCCUGUUCGAGCGUCAUUUGUACCCUCAAGCUUUGCUUGGUGUUGGGCGUCUUGUCUCUAGCUUUGCUGGAGACUCGCCUUAAAGUAAUUGGCAGCCGGCCUACUGGUUUCGGAGCGCAGCACAAGUCGCACUCUCUAUCAGCAAAGGUCUAGCAUCCAUUAAGCCUUUUUUUCAACUUUUGACCUCGGAUCAGGUAGGGAUACCCGCUGAACUUAAGCAUAUCAAUAAGCGGAGGAA
RNAcentral lists this ribosomal RNA (573 nucleotides) under Alternaria longipes. Its description in RNAcentral is "eukaryotic LSU rRNA". The stretch from base 198 to 351 matches the Rfam family "5.8S ribosomal RNA". Lineage: Eukaryota; Fungi; Ascomycota; Dothideomycetes; Pleosporales; Pleosporaceae. The record is from RNAcentral.